UAAUUGAAGAGUUUGAUCAUGGCUCAGAUUGAACGCUGGCGGCAGGCUUAACACAUGCAAGUCGAGCGGUAGCACAGGGGAGCUUGCUCCCUGGGUGACGAGCGGCGGACGGGUGAGUAAUGUCUGGGAAACUGCCUGAUGGAGGGGGAUAACUACUGGAAACGGUAGCUAAUACCGCAUAACGUCGCAAGACCAAAGAGGGGGACCUUCGGGCCUCUUGCCAUCAGAUGUGCCCAGAUGGGAUUAGCUAGUAGGUGGGGUAAUGGCUCACCUAGGCGACGAUCCCUAGCUGGUCUGAGAGGAUGACCAG
RNAcentral lists this ribosomal RNA (310 nucleotides) under Serratia marcescens. RNAcentral's name for it is "bacterial SSU rRNA". It matches the Rfam family "Bacterial small subunit ribosomal RNA", at positions 1 to 307 of the family's 1533-position model. Lineage: Bacteria; Pseudomonadati; Pseudomonadota; Gammaproteobacteria; Enterobacterales; Yersiniaceae. The record is from RNAcentral.